UCCGUCGCGAGGCGGAAUCUGAAGGUAGCCGGCGGCAAACCUCCGGCCCAAAGCAUCGUCAAGCUUGGUGAACCGCCGUAUACCGAACGGUACGUACGGUGGUGUGAGAGGACGGGGGCUAGC
Non-coding RNA from Thermacetogenium phaeum DSM 12270, 123 nucleotides. The record is from Rfam. NCBI's taxonomy places the organism in Bacteria, Bacillati, Bacillota, Clostridia, Thermoanaerobacterales, Thermoanaerobacteraceae.